Molecule: ribosomal RNA, 439 nt
Filed under: uncultured bacterium
Lineage: Bacteria
Description: bacterial SSU rRNA
Rfam family: Bacterial small subunit ribosomal RNA
Source: RNAcentral
UACGGAAGGCAGCAGUGGGGAAUAUUGCACAAUGGGCGCAAGCCUGAUGCAGCCAUGCCGCGUGUAUGAAGAAGGCCUUCGGGUUGUAAAGUACUUUCAGUCGUGAGGAAGGUGUUAAGGUUAAUAACCUUAGCAAUUGACGUUAGCGACAGAAGAAGCACCGGCUAACUCCGUGCCAGCAGCCGCGGUAAUACGGAGGGUGCGAGCGUUAAUCGGAAUUACUGGGCGUAAAGGGCACGCAGGCGGUUAAUUAAGUUGGAUGUGAAAUCCCCGGGCUUAACCUGGGAAUGGCAUUCAAGCUGGUUAGCUAGAGUCUUGUAGAGGGGGUAGAAUUCCAUGUGUAGCGGUGAAAUGCGUAGAGAUGUGGAGGAAUACCGGUGGCGAAGGCGGCCCCUGGACAAAGGCUGACGCUCAUGUGCGAAAGCGUGGGGAGCAAACG